CAAAAUAAAACUUGCUUCGCAUAUUCUCACCCCACAAUUACAAACCCUCAUCAUCUAUCACCGCUUUAGCGAACCAAUUUGAAUAUCUCUCAAUGACUUAGUCCACAAGCUCGCCUCACUCAAAAACCUCCCUAAUCGUGACUUAUGCCAGUCCACCCUCAACAAAGUUUUCCGAGUCUGUUCCUUCAACCUCCUAACCAACCCCCACGACCACCUUAUUUAUCUUACCUACAACAUUCUCGCCCUCUCAAAAUUAUGUUCUUUCACGAAUUCUUCAAACG
Molecule: long non-coding RNA, 281 nt
Filed under: Gossypium raimondii (Peruvian cotton)
Lineage: Eukaryota; Viridiplantae; Streptophyta; Magnoliopsida; Malvales; Malvaceae
Description: long non-coding RNA (GRAI_LNC004073)
Source: RNAcentral